Molecule: ribosomal RNA, 253 nt
Filed under: uncultured bacterium
Lineage: Bacteria
Description: partial 16S ribosomal RNA
Rfam family: Bacterial small subunit ribosomal RNA
Source: RNAcentral
UACGAAGGGGGCUAGCGUUGCUCGGAAUCACUGGGCGUAAAGGGUGCGUAGGCGGGUCUUUAAGUCAGGGGUGAAAUCCUGGAGCUCAACUCCAGAACUGCCUUUGAUACUGAAGAUCUUGAGUCCGGGAGAGGUGAGUGGAACUGCGAGUGUAGAGGUGAAAUUCGUAGAUAUUCGCAAGAACACCAGUGGCGAAGGCGGCUCACUGGCCCGGUACUGACGCUGAGAUACGAAAGCGUGGGGAGCAAACAGG